This 244-nucleotide unclassified non-coding RNA is filed under the name Hevea brasiliensis (rubber tree). The record is from RNAcentral. Lineage: Eukaryota; Viridiplantae; Streptophyta; Magnoliopsida; Malpighiales; Euphorbiaceae.
GAAGGAGACAUACUGGGGCAAUGUCAAUCCGAUUGGUGUUAGGAGUUGUUAUGACGAGGGAAAGAGGACAGCUGAGACUUUAACAAUGGAUUACCAUAGAGGUGCUGAUGUUGAGGUGCGGAUUGCUCGCAUUUUCAACACAUAUGGCCCUCGCAUGUGCAUAGAUGAUGGGCGCGUGGUUAGCAAUUUUGUUGCACAGGCCCUUCGCAGAGAGCCACUCACUGUCUAUGGUGAUGGGAAGCAA